CUCGUAGGCGGUUUGUCGCGUCGGGAGUGAAAACGCCGUGCUUAACACGGCGCUUGCUUUCGAUACGGGCAGACUAGAGGUAUGCAGGGGAGAACGGAAUUCCUGGUGUAGCGGUGAAAUGCGCAGAUAUCAGGAGGAACACCGGUGGCGAAGGCGGUUCUCUGGGCAUUACCUGACGCUGAGGAGCGAAAGUGUGGGGAGCGAACA
This 207-nucleotide ribosomal RNA is filed under the name uncultured bacterium. RNAcentral's name for it is "partial 16S ribosomal RNA". It matches the Rfam family "Bacterial small subunit ribosomal RNA", at positions 568 to 774 of the family's 1533-position model. The record is from RNAcentral.